This 418-nucleotide ribosomal RNA is filed under the name uncultured Streptococcus sp. Its description in RNAcentral is "bacterial SSU rRNA". It matches the Rfam family "Bacterial small subunit ribosomal RNA", at positions 962 to 1382 of the family's 1533-position model. Lineage: Bacteria; Bacillati; Bacillota; Bacilli; Lactobacillales; Streptococcaceae. The record is from RNAcentral.
CGAAGUAACCUUACCAGGUCUUGACAUCCCGAUGCUAUUUCUAGAGAUAGAAAGUUACUUCGGUACAUCGGUGACAGGUGGUGCAUGGUUGUCGUCAGCUCGUGUCGUGAGAUGUUGGGUUAAGUCCCGCAACGAGCGCAACCCCUAUUGUUAGUUGCCAUCAUUCAGUUGGGCACUCUAGCGAGACUGCCGGUAAUAAACCGGAGGAAGUGGGAUGACGUCAAAUCAUCAUGCCCCUUAUGACCUGGGCUACACACGUGCUACAAUGGUUGGUACAACGAGUUGCGAGUCGGUGACGGCGAGCUAAUCUCUUAAAGCCAAUCUCAGUUCGGAUUGUAGGCUGCAACUCGCCUACAUGAAGUCGGAAUCGCUAGUAAUCGCGGAUCAGCACGCCGCGGUGAAUACGUUCCCGGGCCUU